Molecule: ribosomal RNA, 253 nt
Filed under: uncultured bacterium
Lineage: Bacteria
Description: partial 16S ribosomal RNA
Rfam family: Bacterial small subunit ribosomal RNA
Source: RNAcentral
UACAGAGGUCCCAAGCGUUGUUCGGAUUCAUUGGGCGUAAAGGGUGCGUAGGCGGCGCCGUAAGUCAGGUGUGAAAUCUCGGGGCUUAACUCCGAAACUGCAUUUGAUACUGCGGUGCUUGAGGACUGGAGAGGAGACUGGAAUUUACGGUGUAGCGGUGAAAUGCGUAGAUAUCGUAAGGAAGACCAGUGGCGAAGGCGGGUCUCUGGACAGUUCCUGACGCUGAGGCACGAAGGCCAGGGGAGCAAACGGG